Molecule: long non-coding RNA, 698 nt
Filed under: Coccomyxa subellipsoidea
Lineage: Eukaryota; Viridiplantae; Chlorophyta; Trebouxiophyceae; Coccomyxaceae
Description: long non-coding RNA (CSUB_LNC000423)
Source: RNAcentral
CCUGGGCCUCGUUGAGCUGCCAGAGGCCGACGACAGAGGUGGGCCGUUCGGACGCGAGGUGGAACGCGUUGACGAAUGUGGAGUGGCGGUGGUUGUACACGCGCACGGUGCCACGCUCGUCCACGCCCACCAGCAGCGGCCGGAACGGGUGGUGCAGCAGCGCAGCCACGCCGCGGCACUCAAAGUUCACCGUCGUCACGUGCUCCCGCAGCCGCGCGUUGCGGCCCACCGCCCUGCGCCGCGCACAAACUUGAAGGUCAAAGAAAAUUGCCAAUUUGCGUGGUCAAUUCUACUAAUCGCCCAUGGUGUAUGUAUUCAGUGCACGCGAUGACAGUAUGUGCUGAUCAAUUUUUUCGGACAGGCAUGCCCUCCAGCCAUUCCUCACAGCUGCCACUUUGACGCACCAUUGGUGCUAUAACAAGAGGAAGCAUGGGUUCAGCCUCUAAUAUAAGACUAUACAGUCAGUGCAAGGGCGCGCUGUGCCGGUCAGCCUCCUGCCCUACAAAGAGCAUCACUGACAUUACAAGUCCAGGCAAAGCAAUCCAGGCAAAGGAGGUUGGCGCACAUGCAGGCCUGGCGUUUCUCCUCCCGCUCCUUUAGGCGGCCGGCCGUCCUGGAGGGAUCGUGCGUGGAGAACGGGCUCUGCCCGGCGCUGCCCAGCGCUGCAAACUCCAGCUCACCCUCAUAACCCCCCGGUG